AAUCCCGACUCGGGGAGGUAGUGACAAUAAAUAACAAUGCCGGUCUGGCAAUUGGAAUGAGCCAAUCUAAAUAACGAGAACAAGGGCAAGUCUGGUGCCUUCCAGCUCCAAUAGCGUAUAUUAAAGUUGUUGGAUUUCGGGGGCCUGGCGGUCCGUCCGAGAUGGUCCCUCUCGAAAGCCCCGACUGCUCUUCACUGUCGGGGUUCGGGACGUUUACUUUGAAAAAAUUAGAGUGUUCAAGGCAGGCUGAAUACAUUAGCAUGGAAUAAUGGAAGAGGAUUUUGUUGGUUUCUGGGCCGAAGUAAUGAUUAAGAGGGACAGUUGGGGGCAUUCGUAUUAAUUGUCAGAGGUGAAUUCUCGGAUUUAUGAAAGACGAACAACUGCGAAAGCAUUUGCCAAGGAUGUUUCAUUAAUCAAGAACGAAAGUUUUCGAAGACGAUCAGAUACCGUCGUAGUCCUAACCAUAAACUAUGCCGACUAGGGAUCGGUGGAUGACUCCAUCGGCACCUUAUGAGAAAUCAAAGUCUUUGGGUUCCGGAGUAUGGUCGCAARGCUGAAACUUAAAGAAUUGACGGAAGGGCCAGGAGUGGAGCUUAUUUGACUCAACACGGGGAAACUCAGUCCAGACAUAGUAAGGAUUGACAGAUUGAGAGCUCUUUCUUGAUUCUAUGGGUGGUGGUGGGCCGUUCUUAGUGGUGGAGUGAUUUUCUGGUUAAUUCCGUUAACGAACGAGACCUUAACCUGCUAACUAGUCCCCAGAAUGACUUCUUAGAGGGACAACUGGCCAGUGAGGCAAUAACAGGUCUGUGAUGCCCUUAGAUGUUCUGGGCCGCACGCGCGCUACACUGACGAAGCCAGCGAGCCUACGCCGAUAGGUGCGGGGAAUCUUGUAAACUUCGUCGUGCUGGGGAUUGAUUUUUGAAAUUCUUGAUCAUGAACGAGGAAUUCCUAGUAAGCGCAAGUCAGCAGCUUGCGUUGAUUACGUCCCUGCCCUUGUACACACCGCCCGUCGCUACUACCGAUUGAAUGGUUUAGUGAGGUCUCCGGAUCGAGAAGCUGCCCUGAUCAUUAGA
Molecule: ribosomal RNA, 1073 nt
Filed under: Negombata magnifica
Lineage: Eukaryota; Metazoa; Porifera; Demospongiae; Poecilosclerida; Latrunculiidae
Description: SSU rRNA
Rfam family: Eukaryotic small subunit ribosomal RNA
Source: RNAcentral